AACGAACGCUGGCGGCAUGCCUAACACAUGCAAGUCGAACGAGAUCCUUCGGGGUCUAGUGGCGCACGGGUGCGUAACGCGUGGGAAUCUGCCCUUAGGUUCGGAAUAACAGUUAGAAAUGACUGCUAAUACCGGAUGAUGACGUUAAGUCCAAAGAAUUAUCGCCUGAGGAUGAGCCCGCGUAGGAUUAGCUAGUUGGUGUGGUAAAGGCUCACCAAGGCGACGAUCCUUAGCUGGUCUGAGAGGAUGAUCAGCCACACUGGGACUGAGACACGGCCCAGACUCCUAGGGGAGGCAGCAGUGGGGAAUAUUGGACAAUGGGCGCAAGACUGAUCCAGCAAUGCCGCGUGAGUGAUGAAGGCCUUAGGGUUGUAAAGCUCUUUUACCCGAGAUGAUAAUGACAGUAUCGGGAGAAUAAGCCCCGGCUAACUCCGUG
Molecule: ribosomal RNA, 436 nt
Filed under: uncultured bacterium
Lineage: Bacteria
Description: partial 16S ribosomal RNA
Rfam family: Bacterial small subunit ribosomal RNA
Source: RNAcentral